AAGUCGUAACAAGGUCUCCGUAGGUGAACCUGCGGAGGGAUCAUUACUGAGUUCGGGGGCAAUCCCAGUCCCGACCUCCAACCCUUUGUGAACAAAUCUUGUUGCUUCGGGGGCGACCCUGCCGUUCGCGGCAUUCCCCCCGGAGGUCAUCAAAACACUGCAUUAUUACGUCGGAGUAAAAAGUUAAUUUAAUAAAACUUUCAACAACGGAUCUCUUGGUUCUG
This 224-nucleotide unclassified non-coding RNA is filed under the name air metagenome. RNAcentral's name for it is "partial contains small subunit ribosomal RNA, internal transcribed spacer 1, and 5.8S ribosomal RNA". The stretch from base 1 to 46 matches the Rfam family "Eukaryotic small subunit ribosomal RNA", at positions 1786 to 1831 of the family's 1831-position model. The record is from RNAcentral.